Molecule: non-coding RNA, 69 nt
Organism: Podarcis lilfordi (Lilford's wall lizard)
Lineage: Eukaryota; Metazoa; Chordata; Lepidosauria; Squamata; Lacertidae
Source: the annotation of a GenBank genome assembly
GCUGUAGCUCAGCGGCAGAGAACAUGCUUUGUAUGCAGAAGGUCCCAGGUUCAGUCCCUGGCAUCUCCA